CCUACGGGGGGCAGCAGUGGGGAAUAUUGCACAAUGGGGGAAACCCUGAUGCAGCAACGCCGCGUGAGUGAUGACGGUCUUCGGAUUGUAAAGCUCUGUCUUUGGGGACGAUAAUGACGGUACCCAAGGAGGAAGCCACGGCUAACUACGUGCCAGCAGCCGCGGUAAUACGUAGGUGGCGAGCGUUGUCCGGAUUUACUGGGCGUAAAGGGAGCGUAGGCGGAUUUUUAAGUGGGAUGUGAAAUACCCGGGCUCAACCUGGGUGCUGCAUUCCAAACUGGGAAUCUAGAGUGCAGGAGGGGAGAGUGGAAUUCCUAGUGUAGCGGUGAAAUGCGUAGAGAUUAGGAAGAACACCAGUGGCGAAGGCGACUCUCUGGACUGUAACUGACGCUGAGGCUCGAAAGCGUGGGGAGCGAACAGGAUUAGAUACCCGGGUAGUC
RNAcentral lists this ribosomal RNA (440 nucleotides) under uncultured bacterium. Its description in RNAcentral is "bacterial SSU rRNA". It matches the Rfam family "Bacterial small subunit ribosomal RNA", at positions 338 to 795 of the family's 1533-position model. The record is from RNAcentral.